This 489-nucleotide ribosomal RNA is filed under the name uncultured bacterium. RNAcentral describes it as "partial 16S ribosomal RNA". It matches the Rfam family "Bacterial small subunit ribosomal RNA", at positions 30 to 507 of the family's 1533-position model. The record is from RNAcentral.
UUGAACGCUGGCGGCAGGCCUAACACAUGCCAGUCGCACGGUAACAGGGAUCAGCUUGCUGAUUCGCUGACGAGUGGCGGCCGGGUGAGUAAUGUCUGGGAAACUGCCUGAUGGAGGGGGAUAACUACUGGAAACGGUAGCUAAUACCGCAUAACGUCGCAAGACCAAAGAGGGGGACCUUCGGGCCUCUUGCCAUCGGAUGUGCCCAGAUGGGAUUAGCUAGUAGGUGGGGUAACGGCUCACCUAGGCGACGAUCCCUAGCUGGUCUGAGAGGAUGACCAGCCACACUGGAACUGAGACACGGUCCAGACUCCUACGGGAGGCAGCAGUGGGGAAUAUUGCACAAUGGGCGCAAGCCUGAUGCAGCCAUGCCGCGUGUAUGAAGAAGGCCUUCGGGUUGUAAAGUACUUUCAGCGGGGAGGAAGGGAGUAAAGUUAAUACCUUUGCUCAUUGACGUUACCCGCAGAAGAAGCACCGGCUAACUCCGUG